GCUCGCCGGAAGACCAAGGGUUCCUGUCCAACGUUAAUCGGGGCAGGGUGAGUCGACCCCUAAGGCGAGGCCGAAAGGCGUAGUCGAUGGGAAACGGGUUAAUAUUCCCGUACUUGGUGUUACUGCGAAGGGGGGACGGAGAAGGCUAUGUUGGCCGGGCGACGGUUGUCCCGGUUUAAGCGUGUAGGUGUGUGUUCCAGGUAAAUCCGGUUCACUUUAACACUGAGGCGUGAUGACGAGGCACUACGGUGCUGAAGCAACAAAUGCCCUGCUUCCAGGAAAAGCCUCUAAGCAUCAGGUAACAUCAAAUCGUACCCCAAACCGACACAGGUGGUCAGGUAGAGAAUACCAAGGCGCUUGAGAGAACUCGGGUGAAGGAACUAGGCAAAAUGGUGCCGUAACUUCGGGAGAAGGCACGCUGACACGUAGGUGAAGUGAUUUACUCAUGGAGCUGAAGUCAGUCGAAGAUACCAGCUGGCUGCAACUGUUUAUUAAAAACACAGCACUGUGCAAACACGAAAGUGGACGUAUACGGUGUGACGCCUGCCCGGUGCCGGAAGGUUAAUUGAUGGGGUCAGCGCAAGCGAAGCUCCUGAUCGAAGCCCCGGUAAACGGCGGCCGUAACUAUAACGGUCCUAAGGUAGCGAAAUUCCUUGUCGGGUAAGUUCCGACCUGCACGAAUGGCGUAAUGAUGGCCAGGCUGUCUCCACCCGAGACUCAGUGAAAUUGAACUCGCUGUGAAGAUGCAGUGUACCCGCGGCAAGACGGAAAGACCCCGUGAACCUUUACUAUAGCUUGACACUGAACAUUGAGCCUUGAUGUGUAGGAUAGGUGGGAGGCUUUGAAGUGUGGACGCCAGUCUGCAUGGAGCCGGCCUUGAAAUACCACCCUUUAAUGUUUGAUGUUCUAACGUGGACCCGUGAUCCGGGUUGCGGACAGUGUCUGGUGGGUAGUUUGACUGGGGCGGUCUCCUCCUAAAGAGUAACGGAGGAGCACGAAGGUUGGCUAAUCCUGGUCGGACAUCAGGAGGUUAGUGCAAUGGCAUAAGCCAGCUUGACUGCGAGCGUGACGGCGCGAGCAGGUGCGAAAGCAGGUCAUAGUGAUCCGGUGGUUCUGAAUGGAAGGGCCAUCGCUCAACGGAUAAAAGGUACUCCGGGGAUAACAGGCUGAUACCGCCCAAGAGUUCAUAUCGACGGCGGUGUUUGGCACCUCGAUGUCGGCUCAUCACAUCCUGGGGCUGAAGUAGGUCCCAAGGGUAUGGCUGUUCGCCAUUUAAAGUGGUACGCGAGCUGGGUUUAGAACGUCGUGAGACAGUUCGGUCCCUAUCUGCCGUGGGCGCUGGAGAACUGAGGGGGGCUGCUCCUAGUACGAGAGGACCGGAGUGGACGCAUCACUGGUGUUCGGGUUGUCAUGCCAAUGGCACUGCCCGGUAGCUAAAUGCGGAAGAGAUAAGUGCUGAAAGCAUCUAAGCACGAAACUUGCCCCGAGAUGAGUUCUCCCUGAGACUUUAGGUCUCCUGAAGGAACGUUGAAGACGACGACGUUGAUAGGCCGGGUGUGUAAGCGCAGCGAUGCGUUGAGCUAACCGGUACUAAUGAACCGUGAGGCUUAACCUUACA
This 1618-nucleotide ribosomal RNA is filed under the name Salmonella enterica subsp. enterica serovar Javiana. RNAcentral describes it as "partial 23S ribosomal RNA". It matches the Rfam family "Bacterial large subunit ribosomal RNA", at positions 1332 to 2925 of the family's 2925-position model. The record is from RNAcentral. Lineage: Bacteria; Pseudomonadati; Pseudomonadota; Gammaproteobacteria; Enterobacterales; Enterobacteriaceae.